RNAcentral lists this ribosomal RNA (454 nucleotides) under uncultured bacterium. RNAcentral's name for it is "partial 16S ribosomal RNA". It matches the Rfam family "Bacterial small subunit ribosomal RNA", at positions 28 to 507 of the family's 1533-position model. The record is from RNAcentral.
GAUGAACGCUGACAGAAUGCUUAACACAUGCAAGUCAACUUGAACUUCGGUUUGUGUGGCGGACGGGUGAGUAACGCGUACAGAACUUGCCUCACAGAUAGGGACAACAUUUGGAAACGAAUGCUAAUACCUGAUAUUAUGAUUAUAUGGCAUCGUAUAAUUAUGAAAGCUAUAUGCGCUGUGAGAGAGCUUUGCGUCCCAUUAGCUAGUUGGAGAGGUAACGGCUCACCAAGGCGAUGAUGGAUAGCCGGCCUGAGAGGGUGAUCGGCCACAAGGGGACUGAGAGAGGGCCCGUACGGCUACGGGAGGCAGCAGUGGGGAAGAUUGGACAAUGGACGAAGAGUCUGAUCCAGCAAUUCUGUGUGGACGAUGAAGUUUUUCGGAAUGUAAAGGGCUUUCAGUUGGGAAGAAAAAAAUGACGGUACCAACAGAAGAAGUGACGGCUAAAUACGUG